UGAGUACGAGAUGCUACGGCAUCGAAGCAGUCUAUGUCAUACUUCCAAGAAAAGCUUGCACUGUCAUAAACAAAGAAUGCCUGUACCAUAACCGACACAGGUGGGUAGGUAGAGUAUACUAAGGGGCGCGAGAUAACUCUCUCUAAGGAACUCGGCAAAAUGACUCCGUAACUUCGGGAGAAGGAGUGCCUUAUUUCUAAGGUUGCAAUAACAAGAUCCAAGCAACUGUUUACCAAAAACACAGGUCUCCGCUAAGUCGUAAGACGAUGUAUGGGGGCUGACGCCUGCCCAGUGCCAGAAGGUUAAAGAAGUUGGUUAGCAUUAGCGAAGCUGAUAACUGAAGCCCUGGUGAACGGCGGCCGUAACUAUAACGGUCCUAAGGUAGCGAAAUUCCUUGUCGGGUAAGUUCCGACCCGCACGAAAGGCGUAAUGAUUUGGAUACUGUCUCGGAGAGGGGCUCGGUGAAAUAGACUUGUCUGUGAAGAUGCGGACUACCUGCACCUGGACAGAAAGACCCUAUGAAGCUUUACUGUAACUUGAGAUUGAAAUUGGACUUUAUUUGCGCAGUAUAGGUGGGAGGCGUUGAGAAUAAUCUUGCGGGAUUGUUGGAGCCAUCAGUGAGAUACCACUCUUGUAAUGUUAGAUUUCUAACUUUGUAUCAUUAUCUGGUCAAAGAACAGUUUCAGGCGGGCAGUUUGACUGGGGCGGUCGCCUCCCAAAGGGUAACGGAGGCGCACAAAGGUUUCCUCUGAACGGGUAGAAAUCGUAUCUAGAGUGUAAAGGCAUAAGGAAGCUUGACUGUGAGACCUACAAGUCGAGCAGGGACGAAAGUCGGUCUUAGUGAUCUGACGGUGCUGAGUGGAAAGGCCGUCACUCAACGGAUAAAAGUUACUCUAAGGAUAACAGGCUGAUCUCCCCCAAGAGUUCACAUCGACGGGGAGGUUUGGCACCUCGAUGUCGGCUCAUCGCAUCCUGGGGCGGUAGUCCGUCCCAAGGGUUGGGCUGUUCGCCCAUGAAAGCGGUACGCGAGCUGGGUUCAGAACGUCGUGAGACAGUUCGGUCCAUAUCCGGUGUAGGCGUUAGAAUAUUGAGAGGAGCCUUCUCUAGUACGAGAGGACCGAGAAGGACAUACCUCUGGUGUACCAGUUAUCGUGCCAACGGUAAACGCUGGGUAGCUAUGUAUGGAGUGGAUAACCGCUGAAAGCAUCUAAGUGGGAAGCCCACCUCAAGAUAAGUAUUCUCAC
Molecule: ribosomal RNA, 1244 nt
Filed under: metagenome
Description: bacterial LSU rRNA
Rfam family: Bacterial large subunit ribosomal RNA
Source: RNAcentral